UACGUAGGGAGCAAGCGUUGUCCGGAAUCAUUGGGCGUAAAGCGCGCGUAGGCGGCUCGAUCAGUCUGUUGUGAAAGUCCAAGGCUCAACCUUUGAAUGCCGAUGGAUACUGUCGAGCUAGAGUCCGGAAGAGGCGGGUGGAAUUCCUGGUGUAGCGGUGGAAUGCGCAGAUAUCAGGAGGAACACCAACGGCGAAGGCAGCCCGCUGGGACGGUACUGACGCUAAGGCGCGAAAGCGUGGGGAGCGAACAGG
This 253-nucleotide ribosomal RNA is filed under the name uncultured bacterium. RNAcentral describes it as "partial 16S ribosomal RNA". It matches the Rfam family "Bacterial small subunit ribosomal RNA", at positions 524 to 776 of the family's 1533-position model. The record is from RNAcentral.